RNAcentral lists this ribosomal RNA (424 nucleotides) under uncultured bacterium. RNAcentral's name for it is "bacterial SSU rRNA". It matches the Rfam family "Bacterial small subunit ribosomal RNA", at positions 355 to 796 of the family's 1533-position model. The record is from RNAcentral.
UUGGGAAUCUUGGACAAUGGGGGAAACCCUGAUCCAGCCAUGCCGCGUGAGUGAUGAAGGCCUUCGGGUUGUAAAACUCUUUCGACGGGGACGAUAAUGACGGUACCCGUAGAAGAAGCUCCGGCUAACUUCGUGCCAGCAGCCGCGGUAAUACGAAGGGGGCUAGCGUUGUUCGGAAUUACUGGGCGUAAAGCGCGCGCAGGCGGCUAUCCAAGUCAGUGGUGAAAGCCCGGAGCUCAACUCCGGAACUGCCAUUGAAACUGUUUAGCUUGAGGAUGAGAGAGGUGAGUGGAAUUCCCAGUGUAGAGGUGAAAUUCGUAGAUAUUGGGAAGAACACCGGUGGCGAAGGCGGCUCACUGGCUCAUUACUGACGCUCAGGCGCGAUAGCGUGGGGAUCAAACAGGAUUAGAUACCCCCGUAGUCC